Molecule: ribosomal RNA, 546 nt
Filed under: uncultured bacterium
Lineage: Bacteria
Description: bacterial SSU rRNA
Rfam family: Bacterial small subunit ribosomal RNA
Source: RNAcentral
AGCCUAACACAUGCAAGUCGAACGGUAACAGGAAGCAGCUUGCCGCUUCGCUGACGAGUGGCGGACGGGUGAGUAAUGUCUGGGAAACUGCCUGAUGGAGGGGGAUAACUACUGGAAACGGUAGCUAAUACCGCAUAACGUCGCAAGACCAAAGAGGGGGACCUUCGGGCCUCUUGCCAUCGGAUGUGCCCAGAAGGGAUUAGCUAGUAGGUGGGGUAACGGCUCACCUAGGCGACGAUCCCUAGCUGGUCUGAGAGGAUGACCAGCCACACUGGAACUGAGACACGGUCCAGACUCCUACGGGAGGCAGCAGUGGGGAAUAUUGCACAAUGGGCGCAAGCCUGAUGCAGCCAUGCCGCGUGUAUGAAGAAGGCCUUCGGGUUGUAAAGUACUUUCAGCGGGGAGGAAGGCGAUAAGGUUAAUAACCUUGUCGAUUGACGUUACCCGCAGAAGAAGCACCGGCUAACUCCGUGCCAGCAGCCGCGGUAAUACGGAGGGUGCCAGCGUUAAUCGGGAAUUACUGGGGCGGUAAAAGCGCACGCCAGC